ACUUAGCCAUGCAAGUCGAACGCUUCCUAGCCGCCGGAGGAGGCGUGGCGUACGGCUCAGUAACAUAUGGUCAACCUACCCCAUGGACGGUGACAACGUCGGGAAAUUGACGCUAAUAACCGAUAGGGAAAAGGACCUGGAAUGGCCUUUUCCUCAAAGGCCGGGGGAACCGUGCAUUCCCCGGUGUCAUGGGAUGGGACCGUAGCCGAUCAGGUAGAUGGUGGGGUAACGGCCCACCAUGCCGAUAACCGGUACGGGCCCUGAGAGGGGGAGCCCGGAGAUGGAUCCUGAGACAAGGAUCCAGGCCCUACGGGGCGCAGCAGGCGCGAAACCUCCGCUAUACGCGAAAGCGUGACGGGGUCACCCCGAGUGUCAGCCGCUGAGGCCGACUUUUCCUCAGUCCAAAAGGCUGGGGGAAUAAGGGGAGGGCAAGAUUGGUGUCAGCCGCCGCGGUAAAACCAACUCCCCGAGUGGUCGGGACAAUUACUGGGCUUAAAGCGUCCGUAGCUGGUCUGACAAGUUCCUCGUUAAAUCCGACGCCCCAAACGUCGGGCUGCGGGGAAUACUGUUAGACUUGGGAGCGGAAGAGGCCGGCGGUACUUCCUGGGGAGGGGUAAAAUCCUCAGAUCCAGGGAGGACCAUCAGUGGCGAAGGCGGCCGGCCAGGACGUGUCCGACGGUGAGGGACGAAAGCUAGGGGAGCGAUCCGGAUUAGAUACCCGGGUAGUCCUAGCUGUAAACGAUGCAGGCUAGGUGUGUGGGUGGCUACGGGCUGCCCAUGUGCCGUAGAGAAAUCGUUAAGCCUGCCGCCUGGGGAGUACGGUCGCAAGGCUGAAACUUAAAGGAAUUGGCGGGGGAGCACCAC
This 864-nucleotide ribosomal RNA is filed under the name Nitrososphaeria archaeon. Its description in RNAcentral is "bacterial SSU rRNA". It matches the Rfam family "Archaeal small subunit ribosomal RNA", at positions 43 to 882 of the family's 1478-position model. Lineage: Archaea; Thermoproteati; Nitrososphaerota; Nitrososphaeria. The record is from RNAcentral.